UUAUCAACAUUAUUCUGCACAUCUUUCCUUGCUGAUUCCAAACAGAGUCGUCCCGACAUUUUCUGAUGUGAAAGCAUCUCGAUCGCCAAGUACGCUGGGCUAGGAAGAAUACCGUUAUCACUAGGCUCAAGGUUCUCCAGUAGUUCUCGGCGAGCAAUAUUAGCGUCAUAUACAGCUUGUGCAAUGUCAUUGGCGGUCCGUAUGCUUGCACUCUGAAAGAAUACUUAUUCAGUUGAUAUGUAUUAACAACGUUUUGCCUAUGACGUAUUUGACUUUUAGAUUUUAAUUUACUAAUUAAAACAAAAUUCCUUACCUUUCUUAUCACGCAUUUAAAGAAAACAAAAGUAUCUUACCUCAAAACCUGUAGCACGGGUGAUAACAUCUUUCACAACACCAAAUACUUCGGUAAUCAGUUGUUUGUCCCCUGGCCCAUAGACUUGUGGAAUAUUGUAGGUUCGGAAUCUGUGAGGGAAGCGAAUUGCAUCUGCAAAAUUAUUAGUUAUUGAUUAUUUCAAACAAGUCAAUCUCACUUUUGGUUCGCGCAAUUUCCUUAGUUCCACACGGCAAUAUUUUAUCAUAGCAUCUGUACAUUUCUGUAAACGCGCAGCCGUUUGCUUGUAACAUUGUGUAUCGAACGGAAUGUUUAUGGUAUAUUCUAUUCAUCUUUCUUUUCCUCUUUUUGAGUGGCGGUAGAGAGCGAUCAAUCAUUUUUUGUUGAUGGAACCAUGAAACAUCAAGGAACAUUUUUUCACGGUACUGGUAGUCAAUGAAAACUGAAUCAGAUGACGUUGAUCGCAUUAACUUUGACGGCUUCUGGAAUACGUUUUCACUGUCACUUAAAUAUCCUUCAAAUUCGGAGUCGACGCUGAAAAAAUUUCAUAAGGCAAUUUUUGAGCAAUGGAUAAACAUACUCGGAAGGUACACCCUCAAUUUCGAAAUUGUUUUGUUGCAUUGCUGCAUCAUAUCUUGUCUUCGAUUUUCUUCCAGGCUUUUUCUUUGCAGGCUCGUUGACAAUUUGUUUUUUCGCACGUGGAACAACGUAACUUGGAUCGUACAGUUUAAUGCGGUAAUUAAGUAAAUCUUUCCGUGUAAAGAACUUCACCACUCCAUCAGCAUUGCAACCAAUGGAAAUUUGAUAGUUGUUUGGUAUUUUGUCAAAUUCAAAUGUGUACACAUCUCCCGAUGACGUCAGAACUCCCGAUUCCAUGUAAUCCGAAUUGAAAACUCUUAGACGCUCAGAAUCGAUUUCUUCUGUGACGACUUUUGCUCCACCGGUAAUAAUUAGAAAAGCUGAUAGAUAGUCUUUAUUACUGGUUGCUCGACCGUGCUGAAAGAAAAUAAUAAGGUACAGUUUGACGUUUGUGGCUUACAUCGUAAAAGGUCCGUAAUCCAAACUUUACAGCAAAAGAUUUUGCAUCCAUGUUUGACUGCUCGAUCUGAAAUGGAACACACUUUUUAUAAUAAAAAUUGCAAUUUGUAACUUUUAAAACUUACAAGAUAAACAAUUUCUUUUAG
Molecule: non-coding RNA, 1515 nt
Organism: Caenorhabditis elegans
Lineage: Eukaryota; Metazoa; Nematoda; Chromadorea; Rhabditida; Rhabditidae
Gene: anr-16
Product: ncRNA
Source: Ensembl